GGUGGCUCAGUAGUAGAGUGCUUGCCUAGCAUGCAGGAAGCCCUGGGUUCGAUUCCUCAGCACCA
Molecule: transfer RNA, 65 nt
Filed under: Dipodomys ordii (Ord's kangaroo rat)
Lineage: Eukaryota; Metazoa; Chordata; Mammalia; Rodentia; Heteromyidae
Rfam family: tRNA
About the family: Transfer RNA (tRNA) molecules are approximately 80 nucleotides in length. Their secondary structure includes four short double-helical elements and three loops (D, anti-codon, and T loops).
Source: Rfam by way of RNAcentral